ACAUGUAUACAACAUAGAAAUAAUGCAACAAAUCCCAUUAGAACUCUACAAUUAAGCAUGCUCGAGAUAGAGUAGUACUAGGAUGAGAGACCUCUCGAGAAGUCCUAGUGUUUUACAUGUC
Picea glauca (white spruce) is the source of this 121-nucleotide non-coding RNA. NCBI's taxonomy places the organism in Eukaryota, Viridiplantae, Streptophyta, Pinopsida, Pinales, Pinaceae. The record is from Rfam.